GGGGAUGUAACUCAGUGGUAGAGCACUUGCCUAGCAUGCGAAAGGCUCUGGGUUUGAUCCCAGUACACCCU
This 71-nucleotide transfer RNA is filed under the name Marmota marmota marmota (Alpine marmot). It matches the Rfam family "tRNA". Rfam says of the family: Transfer RNA (tRNA) molecules are approximately 80 nucleotides in length. Their secondary structure includes four short double-helical elements and three loops (D, anti-codon, and T loops). Further hydrogen bonds mediate the characteristic L-shaped molecular structure. tRNAs have two regions of fundamental functional importance: the anti-codon, which is responsible for specific mRNA codon recognition, and the 3' end, to which the tRNAs corresponding amino acid is attached (by aminoacyl-tRNA synthetases). tRNAs cope with the degeneracy of the genetic code in two manners: having more than one tRNA (with a specific anti-codon) for a particular amino acid; and 'wobble' base-pairing, i.e. permitting non-standard base-pairing at the 3rd anti-codon position. Lineage: Eukaryota; Metazoa; Chordata; Mammalia; Rodentia; Sciuridae. RNAcentral also lists the same sequence under 1 other name. The record is from Rfam by way of RNAcentral.